This 206-nucleotide ribosomal RNA is filed under the name uncultured bacterium. RNAcentral's name for it is "partial 16S ribosomal RNA". It matches the Rfam family "Bacterial small subunit ribosomal RNA", at positions 1296 to 1500 of the family's 1533-position model. The record is from RNAcentral.
ACGUGCAGGCUGAAACUCGCCUGCACGAAGUUGGAAUUGCUAGUAAUCGCGGAUCAGCAUGCCGCGGUGAAUACGUUCCCGGGUCCUUGUACACACCGCCCGUCACACCAUGGGAGCCGGAAAUGCCCGAAGUCAGUGACCCAACCGCAAGGAGGGAGCUGCCGAAGGUGGAGCUGGUAACUGGGGUGAAGUCGUAACAAGGUAUC